This 54-nucleotide transfer RNA is filed under the name Schmidingerella taraikaensis. RNAcentral describes it as "partial tRNA". Lineage: Eukaryota; Ciliophora; Spirotrichea; Tintinnida; Rhabdonellidae. The record is from RNAcentral.
GCAGACUGUAAAUCUGUUGUCUUCGACUGAGUAGGUUCGAAUCCUACCACCCCC